CUUGCUACUUUGCCGGCGAGCGGCGGACGGGUGAGUAAUGUCUGGGAAACUGCCUGAUGGAGGGGGAUAACUACUGGAAACGGUAGCUAAUACCGCAUAACGUCGCAAGACCAAAGAGGGGGACCUUCGGGCCUCUUGCCAUCAGAUGUGCCCAGAUGGGAUUAGCUAGUAGGUGGGGUAACGGCUCACCUAGGCGACGAUCCCUAGCUGGUCUGAGAGGAUGACCAGCCACACUGGAACUGAGACACGGUCCAGACUCCUACGGGAGGCAGCAGUGGGGAAUAUUGCACAAUGGGCGCAAGCCUGAUGCAGCCAUGCCGCGUGUAUGAAGAAGGCCUUCGGGUUGUAAAGUACUUUCAGCGGGGAGGAAGGUGUUGAGGUUAAUAACCUCAGCAAUUGACGUUACCCGCAGAAGAAGCACCGGCUAACUCCGUGCCAGCAGCCGCGGUAAUACGGAGGGUGCAAGCGUUAAUCGGAAUUACUGGGCGUAAAGCGCACGCAGGCGGUCUGUCAAGUCAGAUGUGAAAUCCCCGGGCUCAACCUGGGAACUGCAUUCGAA
This 559-nucleotide ribosomal RNA is filed under the name Pantoea sp. CSR8A. Its description in RNAcentral is "bacterial SSU rRNA". It matches the Rfam family "Bacterial small subunit ribosomal RNA", at positions 73 to 631 of the family's 1533-position model. The record is from RNAcentral. Lineage: Bacteria; Pseudomonadati; Pseudomonadota; Gammaproteobacteria; Enterobacterales; Erwiniaceae.